Schistosoma haematobium is the source of this 45-nucleotide non-coding RNA. The record is from Rfam. NCBI's taxonomy places the organism in Eukaryota, Metazoa, Platyhelminthes, Trematoda, Strigeidida, Schistosomatidae.
AUCCAGCUGACGAGUCUCAAAUAGGACGAAACACGCGUCCUGGAU